AGAGGAGGAGGAGGAGGAGGAGGAGGAGGAAGCGGAGACGGGAAGGUCACUUCCUCCCCCUUUUUGGGAAAGUUGGGAGGGGUCUGGCUCACCAGGGAAGCCUCGGCUGCAGAGGGUUCUAGUUGUUGUGACGGAAGCAGAAGCCUUUUGUGUUCGGGAUCUCUGAGCACCGGUGCAGAGCGAUCCAGCAGACUCUCAUCUGUGAGACCAGAGCAACAAGAGAGAGGCAUCAGUUGAAUCGCCAGGAAACCCGUUGACCUUGUGAGACAGAGAAGGAGCAAGAAUGAAAGUGAAGCUGGAGCAAGGAAAUCCUUUGGAGUCGUACGGGGCUCCGCUUGAGCACGAAGAGAAGUUUAGCGUGCAAAGCCAAGCAGGCGACGAAUCUAGGGAAAGGGGCGGGAAGAGACCCUCACGCCUUGGAGGCCCGGGGCAGCGGGGAAUUCUGGGUAGGAAGCGUGCAGGAGAUCCUGGCCAGGGGACACAAUCCGCUCAAAGGGACCAUACCAGCGUUUCAAGCAUUUCUGCUACCAGGAGGCCGAGGGGCCCCGCGAGGUCUGCAG
Molecule: non-coding RNA, 560 nt
Organism: Podarcis muralis (Common wall lizard)
Lineage: Eukaryota; Metazoa; Chordata; Lepidosauria; Squamata; Lacertidae
Source: RefSeq, a predicted model, not a curated record